RNAcentral lists this ribosomal RNA (492 nucleotides) under uncultured bacterium. RNAcentral's name for it is "partial 16S ribosomal RNA". It matches the Rfam family "Bacterial small subunit ribosomal RNA", at positions 29 to 507 of the family's 1533-position model. The record is from RNAcentral.
AGUGAACGCUGGCGGUAGACCUAACACAUGCAAGUCGAACGGCAGCACAGUAAGAGCUUGCUCUUACGGGUGGCGAGUGGCGUACGGGUGAGGAAUACAUCGGACUCUACUUUUUCGUGGGGGAUAACGUAGGGAAACUUACGCUCAUACCGCAUACGACGUACGGGUGAAAGCAGGGGAUCGUCGGACCUUGCGCGAUUGAAUGCGCCGAUGUCGGAUUAGCUAGUUGGCGGGGUAAAGGCCCACCAAGGCGACGAUCCGUAGCUGGUCUGAGAGGAUGAUCAGCCACACGGGAAGGGAGACACGGUCCAGACUCCUACGGGAGGCAGCAGUGGGGAAUAUUGGACAAUGGGCGCAAGCCUGAUCCAGCCAGACCGCGUGGGUGAAGAAGGCCUUCGGGUUGUAAAGCCCUUUUGUGGGGAAAGAAAAGCAGCAGGUUAAUACCCCGCUGUUCUGACGGUACUGAAAGAAUAAGCACCGGCUAACUACGUG